Molecule: long non-coding RNA, 518 nt
Filed under: Anas platyrhynchos platyrhynchos (common mallard)
Lineage: Eukaryota; Metazoa; Chordata; Aves; Anseriformes; Anatidae
Description: lncRNA (ENSAPLG00000023178.1)
Source: RNAcentral
AUCUGUCCUUAUUAAAAGGAAGUGCAGAAGUUCAGCUGGAUAUAUUCUGCAGCACAGGCUGACUGUUUCAGGGCAGGAGUGGGGGGAAGCUGAUGCAGAGAGGAAAAUGAAGAUUUCAGAGACAGAAUAUUUAUGCACUGAAAUGGAGAACACUUCAUCCAACAUACAUUGACACAGGAGGAGUGGAAGCUGUGGCAGAACGGAAGUUGAGAUCUAUGGAAAGGUUAACAUCAGGUUUGAAAUUAAAAGUUACCUUCAACUGUUAAUCAGGUGGCAGUGCCUCGCUGCUAAAUGGUGCCUUGCUGCUAAAUGGUGAGAGAGAGCAGAGAGAGGAACCCAGGGCUGCUUCCAACAGAGGGACAAGCAGUCAAGAGGACCAAAGAGGAUGGCAAACAGGAGGGAUGGUGGAAGAUGUUGGUAGCAUGAAGAAAAGGACGGUGAUGGCAGGGAUGAGGAAAAAAAAAAUGGAAGAAAUACACAUAAAAGAAGAAGAGGGAAAAUUCAACAUAAAGAAGUAG